This 253-nucleotide ribosomal RNA is filed under the name uncultured microorganism. RNAcentral describes it as "partial 16S ribosomal RNA". It matches the Rfam family "Bacterial small subunit ribosomal RNA", at positions 524 to 776 of the family's 1533-position model. The record is from RNAcentral.
UACGGAGGGUGCGAGCGUUAUUCGGAAUCACUGGGCGUAAAGCGUGCGCAGGCGGUUUGUUAAGCGAGAUGUGAAAGCCCCGGGCUUAACCUGGGAACGGCAUUUCGAACUGUCAGACUAGAGUGUGGUAGAGGGUAGUGGAAUUUCCUGUGUAGCGGUGAAAUGCGUAGAUAUAGGAAGGAACACCAGUGGCGAAGGCGGCUACCUGGACCAACACUGACACUGAGGUGCGAAAGCGUGGGGAGCAAACAGG